UGCAAUUUCAUAAGCGGAGGAAAAGAAACCAACCGGGAUUGCCUUAGUAACGGCGAGUGAAGCGGCAAAAGCUCAAAUUUGAAAUCUGGUACCUUCGGUGCCCGAGUUGUAAUUUGGAGAGGGCAACUUUGGGGCCGUUCCUUGUCUAUGUUCCUUGGAACAGGACGUCAUAGAGGGUGAGAAUCCCGUGUGGCGAGGAGUGCGGUUCUUUGUAAAGUGCCUUCGAAGAGUCGAGUUGUUUGGGAAUGCAGCUCUAAGUGGGUGGUAAAUUCCAUCUAAAGCUAAAUAUUGGCGAGAGACCGAUAGCGAACAAGUACAGUGAUGGAAAGAUGAAAAGAACUUUGAAAAGAGAGUGAAAAAGUACGUGAAAUUGUUGAAAGGGAAGGGCAUUUGAUCAGACAUGGUGUUUUGUGCCCUCUGCUCCUUGUGGGUAGGGGAAUCUCGCAUUUCACUGGGCCAGCAUCAGUUUUGGUGGCAGGAUAAAUCCAUAGGAAUGUAGCUUGCCUCGGUAAGUAUUAUAGCCUGUGGGAAUACUGCCAGCUGGGACUGAGGACUGCGACGUAAGUCAAGGAUGCUGGCAUAAUGGUUAUAUGCCGCCCGUCUUGACAGGACCAA
This 615-nucleotide ribosomal RNA is filed under the name Saccharomyces cf. cerevisiae/paradoxus. RNAcentral's name for it is "LSU rRNA". It matches the Rfam family "Eukaryotic large subunit ribosomal RNA", at positions 37 to 669 of the family's 3401-position model. The record is from RNAcentral. Lineage: Eukaryota; Fungi; Ascomycota; Saccharomycetes; Saccharomycetales; Saccharomycetaceae.